CCAGUUCACUCUCCCUUUCAACAUCCAUUGUAUGCCACUGUGACACAUGAUACUGGCCAAGAAGGACCUAUGGUCUGACUCAGCAAAUGGCAGUUCUUACAUUUUUAUGUUCAUUUUCCAGUGCAUGCUGCCAGACGCUUUCAGGCUAUUUUUCAAGGAUACCUAUGUCUUUGGGAGGCCUGUUUUCUCUUCCUUUUCAAAGCUGACAAAUUGCUUAGCUAAAAUGGUCAGGAGGAAGAAGGGAGAAGAAUUGUACUCAUCCUCAAUUCCUAUAUUCAUGCUAAUGAUUCAUUGUCUGUGAAGAGAGACUGCAGCUGGAGAGCAGAAGUCUGCAGAAAUGGAGAAUGCCUUUAUCUUUUCUUCUGAAUCCUCUAUAGCAGAAUGAAAAGAGAUUUCAAAAUCUUGAGAAUUGCCAUGAAAUGGGUUUUGUCAUUCUUCUUUAGUUCAUUGAUAAAGACACACCAUAUUCUGGGUGGCUUUCAGGGGAUGUACAACAGAGAUAGCUGGACCCCAAAAGUUUAUUUUUUGUGCUAAUGACGUGAUAAAAAAUAUUCAGUCUGGAUUUUGCACUUGUAAUCACUAAACGUUUCUAGCAACAUUUUGCCAAGUAGCAAUUUUGCAUAAAAAAUUCCAUCCAAAUUCUAGAAGUGAUGUAUGGUUUGAUCGUCUUUAGAAUCAGUCCCAAUCAUAAAAGGUGACUUUUGCAUGAGGUCAAACCCCACCAAGAGUUAAAUUUAUGAAAUUAUUUUGGCGGGCAGUGGACAACUUCCAGAUCUUUUUCCUAGAACAUUAAACCAUAGUGACUCCAGUAUAGCGGAAAAUGUACUCAUGAAUGAUCCUUGCUACACCUUUGGAAAUAGCAUACAGUUUCUCCUGCUGCUGACUGGCUUGCAUGGUGAGGUAAUGUGACAUAGCUUUUA
Molecule: long non-coding RNA, 920 nt
Organism: Gavialis gangeticus (Gharial)
Lineage: Eukaryota; Metazoa; Chordata; Crocodylia; Gavialidae
Exons: 3
Source: RefSeq, a predicted model, not a curated record